This 600-nucleotide ribosomal RNA is filed under the name uncultured bacterium. Its description in RNAcentral is "partial 16S ribosomal RNA". The stretch from base 294 to 600 matches the Rfam family "Bacterial small subunit ribosomal RNA", at positions 567 to 865 of the family's 1533-position model. The record is from RNAcentral.
AUGGAAACUUAGAAUAUACCAUAUAUGUGAUGCUCAUCGAAUGAAUCGUGAUAAAUGCAGCGCAAUAAUUUGUGAGACGUACAUACAUUUAGGGCUGAAGGUGAUCCCAAUGUAUGAAAGACAAAUCUAGGAGGAAUGAGAUUGNCAUGGUGAAACUGAUCAGCAUCCCGNUGAGAGANGCCUAUGGUGUAACUCUUUGUUAGGAUAACUACUCGUGAGUACUGAGGUAUAUACGAUAACACGGUACUCGUGCACAGCGCGUAUACGAGUGCAGCGUAUCGGAUUAUGGUUAAGGUCGUAGCGAUCUGUAGUCAGUGGUGAAUCUCACAGUUUAUGUGAACUGCAUGAAUAACUGCAGGUCUUUGAAGUUGUUGUUUGAAAGUAGCUUGGAAAUAAGUAGUUGUUAGCGGUGAAAAUGCAUAGAUUUUACUUUAGAAACACCAAUUGCGAAAGGCAAGGUUUACUAAAGCAAAACUUGACGCUGAUGGACGAAAGCGUGGGGAGCGAACAGGAUUAGAUACCCUGGUAGUCCCACGCCCGUAAACGAUGCUAACUCGUUUUUUGGGCUUUCGGGUUCAGAGACUAACGAAAGUGAUAAGU